RNAcentral lists this ribosomal RNA (499 nucleotides) under uncultured Glomeromycotina. Its description in RNAcentral is "partial small subunit ribosomal RNA". It matches the Rfam family "Eukaryotic small subunit ribosomal RNA", at positions 591 to 1092 of the family's 1831-position model. The record is from RNAcentral. Lineage: Eukaryota; Fungi; Glomeromycota.
CCAAUAGCGUAUAUUAAAGUUGUUGCAGUUAAAAAGCUCGUAGUUGAAUUUCGGGAUCAAAUUGUUGGUCGUGCCUCGGUACGCACUGGUAUUAUUGGUUCCUACCUUCUGAAGAACCGCGAUGUCAUUAAUUUGGUGUCGUGGGGAAUCAGGACUGUUACUUUGAAAAAAUUAGAGUGUUUAAAGCAGGCUUACGCUUGAAUACAUUAGCAUGGAAUAAUGAAAUAGGACGUUUGAUUCUAUUUUGUUGGUUUCUAGGAUUGACAUAAUGAUUAAUAGGGAUAGUUGGGGGCAUUAGUAUUCAAUUGUCAGAGGUGAAAUUCUUGGAUUUAUUGAAGACUAACUACUGCGAAAGCAUUUGCCAAGGAUGUUUUCAUUAAUCAAGAACGAAAGUUAGGGGAUCGAAGACGAUCAGAUACCGUCGUAGUCUUAACCAUAAACUAUGCCGACUAGGGAUCGGAUGAUGUUAAUUUUUUAAUGACUCAUUCGGCGCCUUACA